GGCCGCCGAGCGGGAUCUGUGCGGGGAGCCGGAAAUGGUUGUGGACUACGUCUGUGCGGCUGCGUGGGGCUCGGCCGCGCGGACUGAAGGAGACUGAAGGUGCUGGGGGGACCCUGAUGUGGCACCAAAUGAAAUGAACAAAGCUCCCCAGCCCACAGGCCCCCCACCCGCCAGGUCCCCUGGACUCCCACAGCGUUUCCCCCGGGGCAGACUGCACCGGUGGUGUUUAGCACGCCUCAAGCGACACAAAUGAACACGCCUUCUCAGCCCCGCCAGCACUUCUACCCUAGCCGGGCCCAGCCCCCUAGCAGUGCAGCCUCCCGAGUGCAGAGUGCAGCCCCUGCCCGUCCUGGCCCAGCUCCCCAUGUCUACCCUGCUGGAUCCCAAGUAAUGAUGAUCCCUUCCCAGAUCUCCUACUCAGCCUCCCAAGGAGCCUACUAUAUCCCUGGACAGGGGCGUUCCACAUAUGUUGUCCCAACACAGCAGUACCCUGUGCAGCCAGGAGCCCCAGGCUUCUAUCCAGGUGCAAGCCCUACCGAGUUUGGGACCUAUGCUGGAGCCUAUUACCCAGCCCAGAGUGUGCAGCAGUUUCCUGCUAGUGUGGCUC
RNAcentral lists this long non-coding RNA (607 nucleotides) under Rattus norvegicus (Norway rat). RNAcentral's name for it is "long non-coding RNA NONRATT007149". The record is from RNAcentral. Lineage: Eukaryota; Metazoa; Chordata; Mammalia; Rodentia; Muridae.